RNAcentral lists this ribosomal RNA (112 nucleotides) under Caerostris extrusa. Lineage: Eukaryota; Metazoa; Arthropoda; Arachnida; Araneae; Araneidae. The record is from RNAcentral.
AACGGCCAUACCAUGCUGAAUAUACCGGUUCUCGUUAGAUCACCGAAGUCAAGCAUCAUUGGGCGCGGUCAGUACCUGGGUGGGUGACCACCUGGGAACACCACGUGCCGUU